AGUGUAACUUGACGUUGCUUAUAAUUCAAUUUUCUAGCUUCUUAUAUAGUUUAUUUGCGCACAAAUUUGCCUCAAAAUUAGCCCUAAAAUAGAGAU
Molecule: long non-coding RNA, 96 nt
Organism: Maniola jurtina (meadow brown)
Lineage: Eukaryota; Metazoa; Arthropoda; Insecta; Lepidoptera; Nymphalidae
Exons: 3
Source: RefSeq, a predicted model, not a curated record